This 743-nucleotide ribosomal RNA is filed under the name uncultured bacterium. RNAcentral describes it as "bacterial SSU rRNA". It matches the Rfam family "Bacterial small subunit ribosomal RNA", at positions 94 to 823 of the family's 1533-position model. The record is from RNAcentral.
AGCGGCGGAUGGGUGAGUAACACGUGGGGAACCUGCCCCUAAGUCUGGGAUACCAUCUGGAAACAGGUGCUAAUACCGGAUAAUAAAGCAGAUCGCAUGAUCAGCUUUUGAAAGGCGGCGUAAGCUGUCGCUAAGGGAUGGCCCCGCGGUGCAUUAGCUAGUUGGUAAGGUAACGGCUUACCAAGGCGACGAUGCAGAGCCGAGUUGAGAGACUGAUCGGCCACAUUGGGACUGAGACACGGCCCAAACUCCUACGGGAGGCAGCAGUAGGGAAUCUUCCACAAUGGACGCAAGUCUGAUGGAGCAACGCCGCGUGAGUGAAGAAGGUUUUCGGAUCGUAAAGCUCUGUUGUUGGUGAAGAAGGAUAGAGGUAGUAACUGGCCUUUAUUUGACGGUAAUCAACCAGAAAGUCACGGCUAACUACGUGCCAGCAGCCGCGGUAAUACGUAGGUGGCAAGCGUUGUCCGGAUUUAUUGGGCGUAAAGCGAGCGCAGGCGGAAAAAUAAGUCUAAUGUGAAAGCCCUCGGCUUAACCGAGGAACUGCAUCGGAAACUGUUUUUCUUGAGUGCAGAAGAGGAGUGUGGAACUCCAUGUGUAGCGGUGGAAUGCGUAGAUAUAUGGAAGAACACCAGUGGCGAAGGCGGCUCUCUGGUCUGCAACUGACGCUGAGGCUCGAAAGCAUGGGUAGCGAACAGGAUUAGAUACCCUGGUAGUCCAUGCCGUAAACGAUGAGUGCUAAGUGU